This 251-nucleotide ribosomal RNA is filed under the name uncultured prokaryote. RNAcentral describes it as "partial 16S rRNA". It matches the Rfam family "Bacterial small subunit ribosomal RNA", at positions 525 to 775 of the family's 1533-position model. The record is from RNAcentral.
ACGGAGGGUGCGAGCGUUAAUCGGAAUCACUGGGCGUAAAGCGCACGUAGGCGGUGUCGUAAGUCGGAUGUGAAAGCCCUCGGCUCAACCGGGGAACUGCAUUCGAUACUGCGAUGCUUGAGUGCCGGAGAGGAUGGCGGAAUUCCAGGUGUAGGGGUGAAAUGCGUAGAUAUGUGGAGGAACACCAGUGGCGAAGGCGGCUUCCUGGACGGCAUCUGACACUGAGGUGCGAAAGCGUGGGGAGCGAACAG